AUAAGAAAUAAUUCUCAAGACAACUCCUUGAUAAUCUUUAAUUUUACCUCUUAAAUCCCACUCAAACUCACAGGACACAGUAACACCAACAUAGAGAGUGCAAAUCAUUACCUUACUUCACAGGUACAACCUAAUAGAUUAUGACGAUGGCCUGUACCUAUCAUACAUAAUCAAACUCACUGUAUUAUAAGGCCUUAUCAGACAAGACAACCUUAUUUAAAAUGUUAUUAGGGCAUCAAUUAAUAUACC
RNAcentral lists this long non-coding RNA (249 nucleotides) under Carica papaya (papaya). RNAcentral describes it as "long non-coding RNA (CPAP_LNC009092)". The record is from RNAcentral. Lineage: Eukaryota; Viridiplantae; Streptophyta; Magnoliopsida; Brassicales; Caricaceae.